RNAcentral lists this ribosomal RNA (556 nucleotides) under uncultured bacterium. RNAcentral describes it as "bacterial SSU rRNA". It matches the Rfam family "Bacterial small subunit ribosomal RNA", at positions 344 to 914 of the family's 1533-position model. The record is from RNAcentral.
GGGGGCUNCAGUAACGGNUCUUCCCNCAAUGCACGCANGUGUGAGGGAGCGACGCCGCGUGUGGGNCGAAGUCCUUCGGGAUGUAANCCACUGUCAGGGGAUACCAAGUUCUGAGGAUCCCCAGAGGAAGAGGCGGCUAACUCUGUGCCAGCAGCCGCGGUAANGACAGAGGCNUNGAGCGUUAGGCGGAAUCACUGGGCUUAAAGCGUGUGUAGGCGGACCCCUAAGUGUCUUGUGAAAUCCCACGGCUCACCCGUGGAACCGCUGGGCAUACUGGGGGUCUUGGGCCAUUCAGGGGCAACUGGAACAAGCGGUGGAGCGGUGAAAUGCGUAGAUAUCGCUUGGAACGCCGACGGUGAAAACAGGUUGCUGGGAAUGCGCCGACGCUGAGACACGAAAGCCAGGGGAGCAAACGGGAUUAGAUACCCCGGUAGUCCUGGCCCUAAACGAUGUCCACUAGAUUGCGGCGGGUUUGACCCCGUCGCGGUCGAAGCAAAAGUGUUAAGUGGACCGCCUGGGAAGUACGGUCGCAAGGCUAAAACUCAAAGGAAUUGAC